UACGGAGGGUGCAAGCGUUAUCCGGAUUCACUGGGUUUAAAGGGUGCGUAGGUGGGCAGGUAAGUCAGUGGUGAAAUCUCUGGGCUUAACCCGGGAACUGCCGUUGAUACUAUCUGUCUUGAAUGUAGUGGAGGUGAGCGGAAUAUGUCAUGUAGCGGUGAAAUGCUUAGAUAUGACAUAGAACAUCGAUUGCGAAGGCAGCUCGCUACACUAUGAUUGACACUGAGGCACGAAAAGCG
This 239-nucleotide ribosomal RNA is filed under the name uncultured bacterium. RNAcentral's name for it is "partial 16S ribosomal RNA". It matches the Rfam family "Bacterial small subunit ribosomal RNA", at positions 524 to 762 of the family's 1533-position model. The record is from RNAcentral.